CAGCAGCCGCGGGAAUACGUAGGUGGCAAGCGUUGUCCGGAAUUAUUGGGCGUAAAGGGCUCGCAGGCGGUUUCUUAAGUCUGAUGUGAAAGCCCCCGGCUCAACCGGGGAGGGUCAUUGGAAACUGGGAAACUUGAGUGCAGAAGAGGAGAGUGGAAUUCCACGUGUAGCGGUGAAAUGCGUAGAGAUGUGGAGGAACACCAGUGGCGAAGGCGACUCUCUGGUCUGUAACUGACACUGAGGAGCGAAAGCGUGGGGAGCGAACAGGAUUAGAUACCCCCGUAGUCCCUGUCUCUUAUAC
RNAcentral lists this ribosomal RNA (301 nucleotides) under uncultured bacterium. RNAcentral's name for it is "partial 16S ribosomal RNA". It matches the Rfam family "Bacterial small subunit ribosomal RNA", at positions 509 to 807 of the family's 1533-position model. The record is from RNAcentral.